Molecule: ribosomal RNA, 435 nt
Filed under: Triticum aestivum (bread wheat)
Lineage: Eukaryota; Viridiplantae; Streptophyta; Magnoliopsida; Poales; Poaceae
Description: partial small subunit ribosomal RNA
Source: RNAcentral
AUGUGGGAAGAAUCGGAUGCUACGGCGGUGCCCUCGUGCGGUCGUGCGCCCGCUUCGCUGUUGGUUCGGCUCCAACGGCCGGCGUCGACCCCCUUCACGACCAGAAAUCGCUACCCAGAUGACGCCGCCGAUCUGCCGCCUGGCGACGCCGAUGCCGACGAGGUAGGCGACGGAGGUGCUCAUGGUGCCCUCGAGCUUGAAGCCGAGGAGCUCCGGGUAGCGCUCGAGCACGCGCGGCACGUCGCCGGGCUUGACGUCCAUCCCCUGGAGGUACUUGACGACGGGCGCGAGGUCGACGACGAUGCUGGCGUGGAGCACCUGCGGGUAGCGGCGGAGCAGGUGCGGGAGCUCGUCGCAGCGGACGCCGAUCUUGCCGAGGUAGUCGAGGACGGGACCAUGUUCUUGCGGACGCUGCAGCCGAGGGCGAGCGGGUAG